Molecule: long non-coding RNA, 1378 nt
Organism: Rosa chinensis
Lineage: Eukaryota; Viridiplantae; Streptophyta; Magnoliopsida; Rosales; Rosaceae
Exons: 2
Source: RefSeq, a predicted model, not a curated record
AGCUGCACUAUCUCUCUGCAUUAUCGCUCCAGACCUUCCUCCUUUUCUCCGAUUUCGAUUUCCGACUUCAAUUCCGAUCGACGCCUCCCCUCUAUCACAAGGUACUCGAUCUCCUAACUCUCCAUCUCAAGAAAAACUGCUGUUUGAUUGUCUUGGUGACGAUGCAGUCACUUCCUCUUGUACAGACUAUUCAGACUUGUUUAUUAGGUUCUACAGCUGGUUAAAUCUGCUUUGAACAUUGGGAGUUUUGUUUGGCUUUUGUCUUUUAAGCAUGGUAGAUUCGUUUAAGAAUCGGAUACUUAGUGUGAAUAGUGCUUCAGUAGAUGUUGUUUUCGUUGGUCUAGUUUCGUUGGAAAUUUUAAGAAGGUGGCCUUUUGGGUUUAAGCUGGGGUGUGUUGAAAAAUGGAAAUCGUGUGUUAGGUUGGAAGCACAAGGGGAUAUGUAUUGCCGAGUACUGAUGGUUUUCAGUUUGGAGCAGAGAUAAGUAAAGGAGAAUGGGAGGGUGCUGUUGUUGUUCUUCUGAAGUAACCGAGCUGAGGCCGUACCAACAUGCUACUAUGUUUAUCCGAGGACAUCUGUAGAGCACGUGCCCCUGUCAUCUCGUUAAGGUGCCUCUGCACUCUCCACAGGCCUCCUUGUAGAUACAAAUGUGGAUGCAUCAAUGCCUGACGAUUAUAGACCACCUCCUGCCCCUUUUUCUUUUGAUGUGUCAGAAGGGCAUCCACGGACUCUACCAGUGGCCCAAGAAAUUUCUGGCAUCAAGAAUGAUGCAACAUUGCAGACAAACAACUUCUGAUUCUGUUCAAGAAGCAGCUGGUGACAAUCCUCAGGAAACUUCAUCCAAGUGUGAAGACCCGAAGAACAAAGUGUACACCAAGUUAGAGCUCGAUCCAAUUAAGAAGGCAGAAGUUGAACUUUCGAAACCAGUGAAAUCUGUUGCUUUAGUCACUGAGGAGGAGGAUGUUGGCCCCGACUGCAUGGAAGAGUAUGACGAAGAAAAUCUAAGAAGUGCCACUAAAUACGACCACCAUUUUCACCUUGCUUGCAUUCUUGAAUGGAUGGAAAGAAGUGACUCAUGUCCGUGUGCGUUCAGGAAAUGAUAUUUGAUCCUCCUAUUGAUUUAUGGUAUCAAGCUGUGCAGGUGUUUGACGGUUUGAUUUGGCGGACGAAUUGUGAUUCUUAUUCGAGUUAUAAGAAGACGCAGCGGGAUUAGAGCGGGAAGUCUUGCAGGUUAGGAGAAUCAGGGCGGUGAUCGCGCGGAUUAGAGUAUAGUUUUAGUUUUACAGUGAUUGUAUUAGUGAGGUGAGUGAUGCUCAAUUUGAGCUUUACAUAUUUACGUUGUAUAAAUGAGUUGUAAUAAAUAAAUUGAGAUUUGUAA